GAAAAAGUAAAAUAUAAAAUGACUAAUAAUUAAAAUCAUAACUUUAAUAACUUAAGUGUAGAAUAAGAUGGCAUUAUCUAAUAUUUAAUAAUUCAAUAUCAUGCCCAUAGCCUUAUCAAAAAGUAAGAAAUAUCAAAAACAGAAGAGCUUUGAGGAAAUCCUCUCACUGCACUUUUGAAUAGACAGUGUUACAGAACUCUAUCUCUAUAUACUUACACCAGUUUUUCCAGUCAUCCUUGUUUUAACACAAGGGUGCCUCUUAUUCAUGUUCUCAAAUUCAUUCAUCCUCAGAUAUUCAACUGCUUGUUCACUUCAGACUUUUCAUGGCUUCCUUUUUUUCACAUUUACUGUAUGCAUUCCUUAUAUAACAAAGGAUUUUAUAUGGAUACUAUUUCAUAAUGAAUCGAAGAACAACUCACCAAGGAAAAUCUGGCAAUUAAGAAUUUUUAGGAUUCAAUACAUCACUAAUACAUUUAUACAGAAUGGUUUUAAUUAAUAGGAUGUUCUUUGCUUUAAAUAUUCUGGAAUGAUAGAGAAUGCAAUUAUGGUUAUAAAAUCUUGAUAAUUAUCGUCACUGGAACAUAGAAAA
This 589-nucleotide long non-coding RNA is filed under the name Androctonus crassicauda. Lineage: Eukaryota; Metazoa; Arthropoda; Arachnida; Scorpiones; Buthidae. The record is from RNAcentral.